Molecule: long non-coding RNA, 1246 nt
Organism: Sceloporus undulatus (fence lizard)
Lineage: Eukaryota; Metazoa; Chordata; Lepidosauria; Squamata; Phrynosomatidae
Exons: 2
Source: RefSeq, a predicted model, not a curated record
AAUAUAGAGCAGGGCCACCCGUGUGGGGGAAAGAUAGCCAAGGCCCCAUUAGCAUGGGAGAUUGAUCUCUUUUCCCAAACAAAGGGCAUUUUAGCAAGUCCCACCCAGAUGUUUCAUUCUUUGGAGGUGCUGGGAUGAGAUUGGAAGCAUCCCUCUUCAGGACAUGGUGGCAUCUUGUCUUCAAACUUGUUUCUUUGGGUGAUGUAUGGCUGCUCAGGCUAGAACAGCUGGGAAAUUGCUGUUAAUGGCAGUGAGAGGAAGGAGGGGGAAGAGGGAGAAGGAGGAGAGGAGAACAACAACACUCGAACGGAAGACCGGGGAUUUAAGUCAUUUCCCCCUGCUUUAUAUAUUGAUAGUGCAUCUCUGUUUGUUUAUUCCUUUAUCUGAGUUUUGUUUUGUUGUAGAUGUUUUGGCCUAGAGUGGAUGGGAAUUUGUGAGACAGGGAAUUAUUUCUUCCUGAGAAGAAGAGAAUUUAAAACGAGGUUUAAAUUUGUGCUACUGAAAGAGCAGGGCAAAAUAAGAAGAGGAAAAAACCCAAAAGCAUACCGAUCUUCAGAGGAUCUCGGAGCCUUUCCUGUUCUACAGCAUUUUUAUAAUGACUGUUGAGUGGCUGCCAUUGAUGGAACAGCUCUCCUUCUUGCCAAUGGACUGAAUUCAUUUCUUACAGAAUUACAGAGGAUUCUGGAAUUUGGUAUAGGCUGCCUUGAGUAUUCUGUUUUUGAAGAUGAAGCAGAUUUAUCACAGCUGUGCCCUCCUCCAGCUCAGUCUGACAGCAACCUGAGUGCUCCAUAGGAGGAGGAGGUAGGAGAGAUGGUCCCAAUACCUCAAGAUAGGAGAAGGUUGUGACACCUAGUAUACACUCAGUCCCUCUCCUGUGUAUGAAGUGAGAGGCUGCAGGCCUGAAAUAUGGUCUGCAAGUUGGGUGGGGCUAAAUCAGCUGAAAGUUGAGGGCUUUCCCCCUUUUGGUUGCUGGAAACAAACCUGUCCCCCCCCCUCCAUCCUACACAAUGAGAUCUGACUGAUUUAUGACCCUGGAUUGUUUCGUGACCUUGUUAUCUGCUACCAUGGACUUUAAGUUUCACAGCUCCUGGACUGUUUGGUUUUGGAUACUGCUUGCUCCUUCAGCUUCUGAAAUUCUGGAACCCUGCCUGCUGGUGCAGUGUGAGAACCAACCUUUAGCGACCAAUCAAAAGAGAGGAAUAGACACAAAGUUCCUUUUCAGAAUUAAAUACUGGUGCUAAUCUGA